Molecule: ribosomal RNA, 253 nt
Filed under: uncultured bacterium
Lineage: Bacteria
Description: partial 16S ribosomal RNA
Rfam family: Bacterial small subunit ribosomal RNA
Source: RNAcentral
UACGUAGGGGGCAAGCGUUGUCCGGAAUCAUUGGGCGUAAAGCGCGCGUAGGUGGCCCGGUAAGUCCGCUCUGAAAGUCACAGGCUCAACCUGUGAAAGCGGGUGGAUACUGCCGGGCUAGAGUCCGGAAGAGGCGAGUGGAAUUCCUGGUGUAGCGGUGGAAUGCGCAGAUAUCAGGAGGAACACCAACGGCGAAGGCAGCACUCUGGGCCGGUACUGACGUUGAGGAGCGAAAGCGUGGGGAGCAAACGGG